RNAcentral lists this ribosomal RNA (468 nucleotides) under uncultured bacterium. RNAcentral's name for it is "partial 16S ribosomal RNA". It matches the Rfam family "Bacterial small subunit ribosomal RNA", at positions 28 to 507 of the family's 1533-position model. The record is from RNAcentral.
GACGAACGCUGGCGGCGUGCUUAACACAUGCCAGUCGAACGGAAAGGCCCUGCUUUUGUGGGGUGCUCGAGUGGCGAACGGGUGAGUAACACGUGAGUAACCUGCCCUUGACUUUGGGAUAACUUCAGGAAACUGGGGCUAAUACCGGAUAGGAGCUCCUGCUGCAUGGUGGGGGUUGGAAAGUUUCGGCGGUUGGGGAUGGACUCGCGGCUUAUCAGCUUGUUGGUGGGGUAGUGGCUUACCAAGGCUUUGACGGGUAGCCGGCCUGGGAGGGUGACCGGCCACAUUGGGACUGAGAGACGGCCCAGACGCCUACGGGAGGCAGCAGUGGGGAAUAUUGCACAAUGGGCGGAAGCCUGAUGCAGCAACGCCGCGUGCGGGAUGACGGCCUUCGGGUUGUAAACCGCUUUCGCCUGUGACGAAGCGUGAGUGACGGUAAUGGGUAAAGAAGCACCGGCUAACUACGUG